Molecule: ribosomal RNA, 253 nt
Filed under: uncultured bacterium
Lineage: Bacteria
Description: partial 16S ribosomal RNA
Rfam family: Bacterial small subunit ribosomal RNA
Source: RNAcentral
UACGAGUGCCCCAAGCGUUAUCCGGAAUCAUUGGGCGUAAAGGGUGUGUAGGUGGUCUAGUUAGUCUUCUGUCAAAUUCCCUGGCUUAACCAGGAAACUGCAGAGGAAACGGCUAGACUUGAGGAUGCGAGAGGUGAAUGGAACUCAUGGAGUAGGGGUGAAAUCCGUUGAUAUCAUGGGGAACACCAAAAGCGAAGGCAAUUCACUGGCGCAUUCCUGACACUGAAACACGAAAGCGUGGGUAGCGAACGGG